GUUGGUUCCAUGGACACAAUAAACCUGGGCAUGCAUUAUGUGCUCAUCUCCUUAUUUUUUCUUGAUUUGUUUUUAGAAUAUUAAAAUUUUCUUCAGUAUAUAAAAAUUUUCUUAACCAUCUCUCCCUUGAGGAAAAGCUCGUGUUGGUACGAGAGAUAAGAGAGCCUGUGUCUCUACUGUUCCUGCUCUCGUCCGAUCUCGCUCCAGUUGCGAACAAUUCGAACGAAGAUCGCUCUAGCGUUUUGUUCACUUCCUUCAUUCUUACCUGGAUCUCUAGGGUUCGCCCACUGUCUGGAUCUUCAUCUAUAAAAAAUGCCUCUGAGACUCGAAAUCAAGAGAAAACUCGCUCAAAGAUCAGAAAGAGUAAAAUCCGUUGAUCUACAUCCAACGGAACCAUGGAUUUUAGUGAGUUUGUAUUCAGGGACUCUCUGUAUUUGGGACUAUCAGUCACAGGUUAUGGUAAAGUCUUUUGAGGUGACUGAGUUACCAGUUAGGUCUGCAAAGUUUAUUGCACGUAAACAGUGGGUUGUUGCUGGAGCCGAUGACAUGUUCGUCCGUGUAUACAACUACAAUACAAUGGAUAAGAUUAAAGUAUUUGAGGCGCACACAGAUUAUAUUAGGUGUGUGGCUGUCCAUCCUACCCUUCCAUAUGUGCUGUCAUCAUCUGAUGACAUGCUUAUAAAGCUCUGGGACUGGGACAAGGGUUGGGUGUGUACUCAGAUUUUUGAGGGACACUCACAUUAUGUGAUGCAAGUUACGUUUAAUCCGAAAGACACUAACACUUUCGCGAGUGCGUCUCUGGAUCGCACUAUAAAGAUUUGGAAUCUUGGCUCGCCUGACCCAAAUUUUACGCUGGAUGCCCAUUUGAAAGGGGUAAAUUGUGUUGAUUAUUUCACGGGUGGGGAUAAACCUUAUCUGAUCACUGGUUCCGAUGAUCAUACAGCGAAGGUUUGGGACUAUCAAACCAAAAGUUGUGUCCAGACUCUAGAAGGUCAUACACACAAUGUUUCUGCAGUAUGUUUUCACCCUGAACUUCCAAUAAUAAUGACUGGUUCCGAAGAUGGGACUGUUCGUAUAUGGCAUGCAACCACUUACAGGCUUGAGAACACAUUGAAUUAUGGCCUUGAAAGAGUUUGGGCUGUUGGAUGCAUCAAAGGCUCACGCCGGGUUGUAAUUGGGUAUGAUGAAGGAACUAUUAUGGUAAAAAUAGGCCGAGAAGAACCUGUAGCUAGCAUGGACAACAGUGGAAAAAUUAUAUGGGCUAGGCAUAAUGAAAUUCAGACUGUGAAUAUUAAGAGUGUGGGAGCUGAUUUUGAGGUUACUGAUGGAGAGAGAUUACCUUUGGCCGUUAAGGAAUUAGGAACUUGCGAUCUUUACCCUCAAAGUUUAAAGCAUAAUCCCAAUGGGAGGUUCGUUGUUGUUUGUGGAGAUGGUGAAUACAUAAUCUAUACUGCUUUGGCAUGGAGAAAUAGAUCGUUUGGUUCGGCAUUGGAAUUUGCUUGGUCGUCAGAUGGAGAAUAUGCUGUUAGAGAAAAUACAUCAAAGAUCAAAAUCUUCAGUAAAAAUUUCCAGGAAAAGAAGAGUAUCCGGCCAACAUUUACCGCUGAACGCAUUUAUGGGGGAACUUUAUUAGCAAUGUGCUCAAAUGAUUUUAUUUGUUUUUAUGAUUGGGCCGAGUGCCGGUUGAUUCGGAGAAUUGAUGUUAAUGUGAAGAAUCUCUACUGGGCUGAUAGUGGUGAUUUAGUGGCAAUUGCCAGCAAUGCAUCUUUUUACAUCUUGAAGUACAAUCGCGAUGUAGUAUCUUCUUAUUUUGACAGUGGGAGGCCAACAGAUGAACAGGGAGUGGAGGAUGCUUUUGAGCUUCUCCAUGAGACCAAUGAACGAGUGAGGACUGGAAUAUGGGUUGGGGAUUGUUUUAUUUACAAUAACUCCUCUUGGCGGCUUAAUUAUUGUGUUGGUGGUGAGGUAACCACGAUGUUCCAUUUGGACCGGCCUAUGUACCUGCUGGGAUAUCUUGCUAGUCAAAGUCGGGUGUAUCUUAUGGACAAAGAGUUCAAUGUUAUGGGGUACACCUUACUUCUCAGCUUGAUUGAGUACAAGACUCUGGUGAUGCGUGGAGACUUGGAACGUGCUAGUGAAGUUUUACCGUCAAUUCCUAAGGAACAUCAUAAUAGUGUGGCUCGCUUCCUUGAAUCAAGAGGCAUGAUAGAAGAUGCUUUGGAGGUGGCUACAGAUCCUGAUUAUAGAUUUGAAUUAGCCAUACAGCUUGGUAGACUGGAGAUUGCAAAGGAAAUUGCCACAGAAGUGCAGAGUGAAUCCAAAUGGAAGCAACUGGGGGAAUUAGCUAUGUCAACAGGAAAGUUGGAAAUGGCAGAGGACUGUCUAAAGCAUGCAAUGGACUUGAGUGGUUUGUUAUUGCUUUACUCUUCAUUGGGAGAUGCAGAAGGGAUAUCAAAACUUGCAUUCCUGGCUAAAGAGCAGGGAAAGAACAAUGUUGCAUUCCUUAGUUUAUUCAUGUUGGGCAAAUUGGAAGAGUGCAUCCAGCUGUUGAUUGACUGCAAUCGGAUACCUGAGGCUGCUUUGAUGGCGCGGUCUUAUCUUCCAAGCAAGGUCUCAGAUAUAGUUGCAAUUUGGAGGAAAGACCUCAAUAAGGUUAAUCAAAAAGCUGCAGAAUCUUUGGCCGAUCCCGAGGAGUAUCCUAAUUUAUUUGAGGAUUGGCAAGUUGCUCAAUCCAUUGAAUCCAAGGUUGCAGAGACAAGGUGUACUUAUCCUCCUGCAGAGGAAUACCCUAAGCAUGCUGAGAAAUCAAAUUUAAACCUUGUGGAGGCUUUCAGAAGCAUGCAAAUUGAUGAAGAGGAACCACUUGAAAAUGGAGAUUCAAACCAUGAGGAUCCAGACAACAACGGAGAAGAAGGGAGUCAAGAAGAGGCUGUUGUAGUUGAUGCUGAUUCUACAGAUGGUGCUGUACUUGUUAAUGGUAAUGAGGCUGAAGAAGAGUGGGGUACGAAUAAUGAAGGAAGUCCAUCGGCCUAAAAGCAAUUGGUUGGCCCAGUGUGAAAAUCCAAAUUUUGUAUCUGUUUUUAUGCCAUGACCCUAGGUGCUAUCAAGGCUGCUGGUUCCAGUUGUAUCAGUCCCUCCCUAGAGGUUUGCUGGAGGAGGCGGCCGGGAAGAGGAGUUUACAGGGACCCGUUGCCUGUGGCUGUGGCUGUGGCUGUGGCUGUGGGGUGGUUUUGUAUGGCAUUGAUUUUUUUUGUUUUCUUUCCUUUUUUGGGUCAUUAGGCAUAUUUUAUGGGACAGGUUUUCUUAUUUUCCUUUUUUUUUCUUUUGGGUUGCUCUUUUACUGCGGUUCUUAGCAUAUUCUUUUGAGUUCUUUUUUUAUUUUAUUUUAUUUCUUUUUAAAUCUUAUACCCAUGUAGAAUAAUUCUUUGCGGUGAUGAAAACCCAAAUAGCCCUUUUCCAAUAUUCAAAAAAUUAUGCAGCUGUUCAUCA
RNA transcript from Malania oleifera, 3489 nucleotides. It is a transcript of the gene named coatomer subunit beta'-2, with no coding region annotated. The transcript is spliced from 26 exons. The record is from RefSeq and is a predicted model, not a curated record. NCBI's taxonomy places the organism in Eukaryota, Viridiplantae, Streptophyta, Magnoliopsida, Santalales, Ximeniaceae.